RNAcentral lists this unclassified non-coding RNA (338 nucleotides) under Sordariomycetes sp. Its description in RNAcentral is "partial contains 5.8S ribosomal RNA, internal transcribed spacer 2, and large subunit ribosomal RNA". Lineage: Eukaryota; Fungi; Ascomycota; Sordariomycetes. The record is from RNAcentral.
AACGCAAUUUGCGCCCGAGGCCUUGGUCGAGGGCACGUCUAGUCUGGGCGUCGCAUCCCAUUCAAACGUGCUCCCUGCAAUAGUGCUAGGGAGCAGCGGAGCUGGUCAUCGGUGCCCCGUGCAGUGCAGUCAGCUGAAAUACCUCAAGCGAUGUUUCGUGGCGUGCGUCGGCGAGCGAUGAUCUUGUCCCCUUGGAUGGGCAGUCGACGUUAGCCGAUGCGGGCUUUUUGUGGCAUCGCUCAAACUUUCUUUUCUCUCUCUUGUCCUCUCCUGGGGUAGGGCGCAUUUAGCUCCAACUUUGCGACCCCAGCUCAGGCGAGAACACCCACUAAGUUUAA